Vigna angularis (adzuki bean) is the source of this 1214-nucleotide long non-coding RNA. RefSeq lists it as uncharacterized. Lineage: Eukaryota; Viridiplantae; Streptophyta; Magnoliopsida; Fabales; Fabaceae. The transcript is spliced from 5 exons. The record is from RefSeq and is a predicted model, not a curated record.
UCGAAAUCACUCGCAUUUUCCCCUCUUUCUGGAAAUCGCUCGCGUUCUCUUCCUCACAGAACCUCUCACUUGCAGUCUCCCACCGUCAAAAUCGCGUUUCUCCCUCUUCCUCCCACAACAACUCACAGAACCCUUCCACUUCCAUUUUCCCCUCUCUUGAAAUCACUUGCAUUUUUUUUCCUCUUCCUCACACAACCUCUCAUUUGCACUCUCCCACUGUCAAAAUCGCGUUUCUCCCUCUUCCUCCCAUAACUCAGAACCCUUCCACUUCAACUCUCACACCGGCAUUUCGUUAGUGUGGCUAUCACUCACUGUCGUCGUCAUUCACUAUCGGCGGUGACUCUUCAGUGCAAAUCUUUCUUCCCACUUCCACCCCCAAAAUCUAGGGUUUCAUCUAUCUAACCCUUUUUUCUUUCUUUGGUUUUGCGCUCCAAUAAUAUUUGGUUUUCAAUUUGCUCACUCGCUUUUGGUUUUUUCGUGGUCAUGUCUUUAAUGUGUUUUGAUGGUUGUAAUUGAUUCAAAUUUCUGGCUUUUUAGGUUUUCCAGGGUUUAGGAAUGGCUAUGGGAAUGGUUAAAUGGAAAGCACAUCUAUAGUCAACAUGAACCUAUGCCUAAAAAGGUUCUUGACUUGAUGAAUGUUGAAAAGCUUACAUGGGGGAAUGUGGCCCACCACCUUCAGGCAUUGAUGAUAUUGUUCUAUUCAUAGAGCAUACGAUAAGGCUGCUAUCAUGGAGUAAAUGCUGAUAUAAACUUUAGUUUGGGAGAUUAUGAGGAGGAUUUGAAGCAGAUGAGAAUUUUUACAAAGGAAGAGUUUGUGCUUGUUCUUCAUCGACAAAUCAGUGAAAUAUUGAGGAGAAACGCAACUCACAUAAGUGCUUUAGCUCUUCACAAAGGUGGUCAAGGAGAACAAAGUAUAAGACCAUUUAUUAGCAAGACGUGGAAAUGCUGAGAAGGACCAUGCUUGUUAGGAGAGAUUUAAGGACAUGGACUUCCGAAGAAGUGUUUUUAAAGUAGACAGAAACAACCCAGUUUAGAUGUGGCUACAAAAACUGCUACGAUACUUGCAAUUGUGCCUUCAUAGUAAUAGGUUCUAUAUUCUGGUUUUACAAGAAGACGUUGCCCCUCCUAUUGUCAAUCAUAGUUAUUCACUCAUUUUAUUGAAAGUUGAAACUAAUGACAAUAACCUUAUAUAAUAUUAUAUUGUAUUUAUAAGU